This is a small nuclear RNA of Pyrus x bretschneideri (Chinese white pear), 99 nucleotides long. The record is from RefSeq and is a predicted model, not a curated record. NCBI's taxonomy places the organism in Eukaryota, Viridiplantae, Streptophyta, Magnoliopsida, Rosales, Rosaceae.
CCUUUAGAGACUUCGAUAAAAUUCGAAUGAUACGGAGAUGAUUAACAUGAUCCUUGCGUAAUAAAGACGCCCAUAAAUCAAGAAAUGGUUCAAAUUUUU